This 253-nucleotide ribosomal RNA is filed under the name uncultured bacterium. RNAcentral describes it as "partial 16S ribosomal RNA". It matches the Rfam family "Bacterial small subunit ribosomal RNA", at positions 524 to 776 of the family's 1533-position model. The record is from RNAcentral.
UACGAAGGGGGCUAGCGUUGCUCGGAAUCACUGGGCUUAAAGGGCGCGUAGGCGGACCACCAAGUCCGGGGUGAAAUCCUUCGGCUUAACCGGAGAAUUGCCUGGGAUACUGGUGGUCUUGAGGGAGGUAGGGGCACGCGGAACUUCCGGUGGAGCGGUGAAAUGCGUUGAUAUCAGGAGGAACACCGGUGGCGAAGGCGGGUCUCUGGGCCGAUACUGACGCUGAGGAGCGAAAGCGUGGGGAGCGAACAGG